GAUAAUUACUAACUUGUAAACCCAACAAUCCAAAUCAAACAUCAAUCAACAAUUAAAUUAAAAUAACUUAGUGGUCCCGAUAGUUACUACCAACACAAAAUUAUAUCCGAGUCUCAUAUACAAAUUCACAUUUAACAAGCACGUAUAAUACACACAUAUAACAACCGGCUAAUUAUAGACACAAUCCUGAUUUUAAGUAUUAAUAUUAGUAGAAAUUAACUAACAUUAAUCCGAAUUUAAGCAUCCAAUCAACAACUCAAUCCGACCCAAAUAACCAAAAUCAUAAUAAUCGAAUUAUAUACACGAGACUGGGUUAUACCGCGCUAACACAACACUGGAGGCUGAAGAACAGGGCUGGAUUCGUCCGAAAACAGCAAGCCUGCGUCUGGAUUGCCUAGGAACUCGAAGAAUCGCGGGUGAAUUAAUCAGAAGAAACAACACAGUGGUGGUGCCGGCGACUGGCCGGAGUUUGAACAGCGGCGGCGGCGGGUUUCGGGGGAAAAGAAAAGAACGGGGAACAAAGGUGGAAGAGGAAUGGAGGAGAUAUGUACGGGAGAGAGUGUGAGAGAUUAGCAGAGGGGGU
This 583-nucleotide long non-coding RNA is filed under the name Daucus carota (carrot). RNAcentral's name for it is "long non-coding RNA (DCAR_LNC004851)". Lineage: Eukaryota; Viridiplantae; Streptophyta; Magnoliopsida; Apiales; Apiaceae. The record is from RNAcentral.